UCAGAAAAGUGAAAGGUCAAAAGAUCAAGUCAUGCUUUGAUCUAAUGCAACUAUAAAUACCAUACUAGUUUGUACUUGCACAAUAUAGAAUCACUCACACAAGUACACCUUCUUCAGAUAUAACCCAUUUCAUUUUCAUUUUCAUUUUCAUUUUCACAACAAACAAAGAAAGAAAGAAACAAUGAAGUUAGUGUUGUUAACAGCAUUAUUGGUGUUCAUGGUUUCCCAGUGUUGUGAUAUUCUGAGGGUUUCAGCUGAUAUUGGGACCGCCACAUCUUACGAUCCUCCAUACUUGCCAACAAGGUGUGGAGGAUACAGCCAAGAUCAAUUCCCAGAAGAUGGAUACUUUGCUGGCACCAGUGAUGGUUUAUGGGACAACGGUGCCGCCUGUGGUCGGAGAUACCGCAUACGCUGCCCGUGCCCAAGUACUCUACUUCUUUCAAACAAAGCCUUCGAUGCCAUCUCCAGAUUUCCCAAUGCCAAGAUCAAUGUUGACUAUGCACAGUAAGCAACGUUUCUAGGGAAACACUAUGCACUUAACUAAAAAGAAAAAUGACUUUAUUUUAAUUUUUUGAAUCAUAACUAAACACAACACGGGACAUAAUUAAAAAACUCACGAGUCAGAAUUAAAAUAAUAUUAUAACUAAAGAAGAAAAUUGAUCAUAACUAAAAAUAAAUAAAUAACAUAAUCGAGGGUACAUAUGGUACACCCUUUUAAAGAUUAUAUAUUAAAAUUUCUCAUGUUUCUAUUUUGUAUUUUUACUUCUUGUAUUGUAUGCAUGCAUGGAUUGUUUUUGUGUUUGUAGAUGAAUGAUAUGCUAAUAUGUUGAUUUUUGCAGAAACAGCCCCUGCCCAAGUACUCUACUUCUUUCAAACAAAGCCUUCGAUGCCAUCUCCAGAUUUCCCAAUGCCAACAUCAAUGUUGAAUAUGCACAGGUUUGAUAGUAAUUAAAGCAUUUAUUUGCACAACUCGAAUCGUCUACAUUGGAGAUCUCAUUGGAAGAUGAAUGGUUAUGAAAUAGCUGAUAGUACCCCUUUUUGGAUAUGCAUUGCUUCUAGUUGUUUGGUUCCAUAAAAUAAAGAUUGGAAUGUAACGAUCAUUCCGUUCAAAUACUCAUCCUCAUGUUUCAUUUGAUAAAGAAGAAUGACAUGUAUGUAUGUGCAAUCACCAUUAAUCAAUUUAGAAUAAUGAUGAUUUCAAUAAGAGGUCAAAAAAUUAAUUAUUA
This is a non-coding RNA of Camellia sinensis, 1226 nucleotides long. NCBI's taxonomy places the organism in Eukaryota, Viridiplantae, Streptophyta, Magnoliopsida, Ericales, Theaceae. The record is from RefSeq and is a predicted model, not a curated record.